AGUGAACGCUGGCGGCAGGCCUAAUACAUGCAAGUCGAACGGCAGCACAGUGGAGCUUGCUCCAUGGGUGGCGAGUGGCGGACGGGUGAGGAAUACAUGGGAAUCUGCCCAGUUGUGGGGGAUAACGUAGGGAAACUUACGCUAAUACCGCAUGCGCCCUUCGGGGGAAAGCCGGGGACCUUCGGGCCUGGCGCGAUUGGAUGAGCCCAUGUUCGAUUAGCUAGUUGGCGGGGUAAAGGCCCACCAAGGCGACGAUCGAUAGCUGGUCUGAGAGGAUGAUCAGCCACACUGGGACUGAGACACGGCCCAGACUCCUACGGGAGGCAGCAGUAGGGAAUAUUGGACAAUGGGCGCAAGCCUGAUCCAGCCAUGCCGCGUGAGUGAAGAAGGCCCUCGGGUUGUAAAGCUCUUUUGUCCGGGAAGAAAAGCAUCGGGCUAAUACCUCGGUGUUCUGACGGUACCGGAAGAAUAAGCACCGGCUAACUUCGUG
Molecule: ribosomal RNA, 490 nt
Filed under: uncultured bacterium
Lineage: Bacteria
Description: partial 16S ribosomal RNA
Rfam family: Bacterial small subunit ribosomal RNA
Source: RNAcentral